Molecule: ribosomal RNA, 903 nt
Filed under: uncultured archaeon
Lineage: Archaea
Description: bacterial SSU rRNA
Rfam family: Archaeal small subunit ribosomal RNA
Source: RNAcentral
AGGCCACUGCCAUUGGGAUCCGACUAAGCCAUGCGAGUCGAGAGGGUUCGGCCCUCGGCAGACUGCUCAGUAACACGUGGAUAACCUAACCUUAGGUGGAAGAUAACCUCGGGAAACUGAGAAUAAUAUUCCAUAGAUCUAGGAUGCUGGAAUGCAUCUAGAUUGAAAGUUCCGACGCCUAAGGAUGGGUCUGCGGACUAUCGGGUUGUAGUCAGGGUAAAGACCUGACUAGCCUACGACGGAUAUGGGUUGUGAGAGCAAUAGCCCAGAGACGAUAUCUGAGACACGAUAUCGGGCCCUACGGGGCGCAGCAGGCGCGAAAUCUUCACAAUGUGCGAAAGCACGAUGAGGGGAUCCCAAGUGCUGGCACGUAAGUGUCAGCUGUUUCUUAGUCUAAAAAACUGAGAGAGUAAGGGCUGGGUAAGACGGGUGCCAGCCGCCGCGGUAAUACCUGCAGCUCAAGUGGUGGCCGCUAUUAUUGGGCCUAAAACGUCCGUAGCCUGUUUAGUAAAUGCUUGGGUAAAUUGUGUAGCUUAACUAUACGAAUACCGGGUAGACUGCUAAACUUGGGACCGGGAGAGGCUAGAGGUACUCCUGGGGUAGAGGUGAAAUUCUGUAAUCCUAGGGGGACCACCAGUGGCGAAGGCGUCUAGCUAGAACGGGUCUGACGGUGAGGGACGAAGCCCUGGGGCGCAAACCGGAUUAGAUACCCGGGUAGUCCAGGGUGUAAACGCUGCUUGCUUGAUGUUAGUUGGGCUCCGAGCCCAACUAGUGUCGGAGAGAAGUUGUUAAGCGAGCUGCCUGGGAAGUACGGUCGCAAGGCUAAAACUUAAAGGAAUUGGCGGGGGAGCACCACAAGGGGUGAAGCCUGCGGUUCAAUUGGACUCAACGCCGGGAAACUUA